AUGAAAAACAAAGCGUUGCUAUGGACGCAGGAUUCUAACCUUAGAGACGGAAAGGGCUAUAUUUUCUUUAUUAUUUUCUUUAUUAUUUUUUCACAUUAUCCCUUACAUAAUAUAACUGGGUAUAUAAGCUCACACACAGCGUACUCACACCUCACUCACUCUGGACAUCCCAACUGGACAUCCCAACUGGACAUCCCAACUGUCAGUUUCUCUGAGACCCUGCCCUACAGACAGACUAGCACGAUGUCAUCUCAGAAGAGAAAAAAACACAUAGCUGUGUCACACAACUGGAUGCCUGCAGAAGCUAGGAAAAGAGAAUACAAACGACUAUGGCAGAGGGUGCAAAGGAAAAUGAGAAGUGUGCACAUUAACGCAGCUGGUCCUAGUACUGUGCUAGACAGUGAAGCACACAAUCCCAGGGACACUAUGCCAAUCUGGAACCCAGGCCUAAAAAAUGCAAUGACUGGAGAAUCUAAUAGUGACAGCGAUGAAAUGUCGUUUGUCAAUACUGACAUCAAUGCAGUCUCAUCGCUACAACAUACAAUGGCAGAAGACACAGAGAAUAUGGUUCUUGAAUAUUCCGGUAGUGACAUGGAUGGAGAGUUUUUUGAGAAUACUGCCAACAUUGAUAUGCCCACAGAAAAUUUAGCAGAGGAGUUAAAGAGGUGGAUCAUUGAAUAUAAUAUCAAGCACAAUGCUGCAGAAAAACUGCUCAAAAUUCUCAGGGAUCAAGGGCAUAAACACCUGCCAUCUACUACUAAAAACAUUAUUAAAAAAACGGAUCCUGUUGAAAGCCAAAUGGUGUCUGGUGUGGAAUGCAUUAAAUUUGGAGUGACUGAACAAUUAAUCCUGUGCUUGAAUCGGUAUCCCAACAAUUAUGCAAAAAGACAUCACUGAGCUUGAGAUUUCCCUCAAUGUAGAUGGACUGCCACUCUUUAAGAGCACUGGUAAAUCUUUCUGGCCUGUACUCUGCACAGUACAUCUAAAACCAGCAAGCACAUUUCCUUUGACCAUUGCCCUUACUGAGGCCAAGCCCAAAUCACUGGACUUCAUUAAAGUCAUAUCAGAUGAACUGAAAAUGAUUCUAAUGAAUGGCUUUGCAUGGGGAGAAACAACACUCAAUGUAAG
This is a long non-coding RNA of Cyprinus carpio carpio, 1128 nucleotides long. The record is from Ensembl. NCBI's taxonomy places the organism in Eukaryota, Metazoa, Chordata, Actinopteri, Cypriniformes, Cyprinidae.